UUUGGGUGUACCGAGACACCCAAGCCAUAGCUCGCUCGAAGUAUUUUAAUCGCAAAAUACCCCUCGAUUUGUUGUGCAAACUUUUCUAUCACAAAUCUUGCCCCGAUAUAUCAAAUGUAGCUUAUUUUCUAAAAGGAAAUUUUAUCUCCAUAGUAACUUAACAAGGUCAUUUUCGAUUUUUCCAAUAGUUUUCCCGGCAAAUGUGAAAACUGC
Molecule: non-coding RNA, 213 nt
Organism: Cinara cedri
Lineage: Eukaryota; Metazoa; Arthropoda; Insecta; Hemiptera; Aphididae
Source: the annotation of a GenBank genome assembly